AAAGAAGACGUGCAAAUAAUUCUCCAUCCACAAAAGCAAAUGUCAAGGAAUAUACUCUGUUGCUCAGAAGUAUUUGGAUUGCAUAUUUUUGUCAAAAUUGAAGUAUCCAGCUACUUAUGGGCAACAGUGUAUUUGGGAGAACCUACCCUGCCUCCACUAUUACCUGUUUCAUCACAAGCGAACCAUCUGCAAUGACGAGGAAUAUUCGUAUAAAGCCAACAAGAACCAAGAAUCAAAUCGCGAUCCAAUAAAUUAUAUCACGCUAAGCUCAUUCAUAAAAGAAACGAAAUACGGGAGAAACGAAAAAGCGAGAAUACAAAGCACAGUGAAGUAUCAUAACAAAAUGUGGCGACGAGUGGCCGAGGAAUUAGCAAAUUAGCCAGGGUUUGACGUCAAGAACAAUUCACGAAGAAUCAUUGCUCGUUACGCGUACCACGCGCCGCUUAUAUCGAUCAAUUACCCUAUGGAAAAGUCGUGCACGUGCAGUGGUGAGCAUGUUCAUCGCAACUUUACCAGGUCAAGAUCACAAAGAACAGGCAAGUUCAGUCUCAGAUGGCUCAAAUCGUCCGUUCUGUCGUAUAGUUUUAGACGUUGCAAGUGGAUCGAUUUAGUAGAAACGGAUUUUAUGAAAUAGAUUUGAAAGAUCGAGUAAUAGGAGACACGUUCGAGUCGAGGAAAUAACGCGAAACUCACUGAAAGAAGAGACAAGGUGCGGAAGGGACUGCCAACCAACUCCCACCUCCGGCUGCGCACCCCGGAAACCGUAACGCGACUCGAGCUACCGCAGUGCGCAACAACCCCUCAACUUACCUUCACUGAUCCCGUGGAAUUCGUAGAGUUGGAUUUUAAAGGUAACCAAGGUGCCAUUGGCAAAUAUUUGGAGAUUUAGUAUUUGUUAAUUUGAAUGAUUGUGGUCCAAGGAAACACUGGACAUUUUAUUUUAGACAAGUUGAAAUGUCAAUAGUUUAAGGGUUCUCUCUAAUUCUCCAAAUUCUUGGAUUUUUAAACCUUUAUAUUUCCA
RNAcentral lists this unclassified non-coding RNA (1021 nucleotides) under Bombus terrestris (buff-tailed bumblebee). RNAcentral's name for it is "misc RNA ENSBTSG00005039085.1". The record is from RNAcentral. Lineage: Eukaryota; Metazoa; Arthropoda; Insecta; Hymenoptera; Apidae.